AUUGAACGCUGGCGGCAUGCUUUACACAUGCAAGUCGAACGGUAGAGGGGGCAACCCCUUGAGAGUGGCGAACGGGUGAGUAAUGCAUCGGAACGUGCCCAGUCGGGGGGGAUAACGCAGCGAAAGCUGUGCUAAUACCGCAUACGAUCUCUGGAUGAAAGCGGGGGACCGAAAGGCCUCGCGCGAUUGGAGCGGCCGAUGUCAGAUUAGGUAGUUGGUGGGGUAAAGGCCUACCAAGCCAACGAUCUGUAGCUGGUCUGAGAGGACGACCAGCCACACUGGGACUGAGACACGGCCCAGACUCCUACGGGAGGCAGCAGUGGGGAAUUUUGGACAAUGGGCGCAAGCCUGAUCCAGCAAUGCCGCGUGCAGGAAGAAGGCCUUCGGGUUGUAAACUGCUUUUGUACGGAACGAAACGGUCUGGGUUAAUACCCUGGGCUAAUGACGGUACCGUAAGAAUAAGCACCGGCUAACUACGUGCCAGCCGCCGCGGUAA
Molecule: ribosomal RNA, 496 nt
Filed under: uncultured bacterium
Lineage: Bacteria
Description: partial 16S ribosomal RNA
Rfam family: Bacterial small subunit ribosomal RNA
Source: RNAcentral